Molecule: RNA transcript, 3296 nt
Organism: Mercurialis annua (annual mercury)
Lineage: Eukaryota; Viridiplantae; Streptophyta; Magnoliopsida; Malpighiales; Euphorbiaceae
Gene name: multisubstrate pseudouridine synthase 7
Exons: 20
Source: RefSeq, a predicted model, not a curated record
UUAAACUUUAAACCCAUUAAGAAGAAAUGAUGUGCCACUGCACAACAUCGUUCCGUUACUUUUCAGUGCUAAAACCCUACUACCCGCCAUCCCCCUCCACCUAUCGCACCACCACCACCACCGCCACUCUCACCGGCGAUUACAGUUUCAACUCUCCAAUGACAACCAUAGACGAGUCAGACGUCGGUAUCUCCUGCUACAUCUCCAAGCUCCCCGGCUUUCGCGGCAUUUUAAAGCAAAGAUACUCCGAUUUCAUCGUCAAUGAAGUCGGUACCGACGGAAAUGUAGUUCAUCUGACCUCUCUUCAUGUCUCUCCUGAGGUUUUGAAAAUUGAAGAGGAGAAAGAGAUUGAUGUAACGAAUCAGAUAAGUGGAGAUAAAAAUUACGCUGAUGAAAUUGAAGCAUUUAGGUUAAUUGCUGGUGAUGAUGAUACGCAGCGUUUAGAAGCUUUUAUUACUGAAUUUAAUGAAGAUAACAGCAAAAAUAUGUCGCCUAUUGUUCUUUCACCAGAUUCCGAUAAAGCUCAUCGAACGGCAAUGCAUAAUUUCUUCAAGGAGAAGUUGAAGUUUCUUGUUACGGAUACCGUUGACGGACCGGAUGCUAUGUCGAAAUGCAUUCGUGUGAGAUUGAAUUCCGGGGGACAUAGCAAUGGAGGUGGUAGAAAUUCGAAGAAACGAAAGGAUAGAAAUGAUAACCAGGCAUUUGAUAGUAGGGGUUCUAAUCAUUGGCCGGAGGAUCUCGGCAAGUUUCUUAGGUUUCAUUUAUACAAGGAGAAUAAAGAUACACAAGAAGCUCUUGGAAUAAUAGGAAAGAUGCUUGGCCUUCAGCCAAGAGCUUUUGGUUUUUCUGGCACCAAGGAUAAACGUGCAGUGACAACUCAGAGGGUUACUCUUUUCAAGCAGCGUGCUAGCAGACUAGCUGCUCUUAAUGACAGAUUAAUUGGUAUCAAAGUGGGCGAUUUCUGCCAUGUUAAGGAAGAACUUCUGCUUGGACAGCUGUUAGGUAACCGUUUCACUAUCACAUUACGAGGAGUGGUUGCAGAUUCUGAAGAUACUAUCAAGGGGUCAGCAGACUCAUUAGGAAGAAAUGGGUUCAUCAAUUACUUUGGUUUACAGCGGUUUGGUAGCGGUUCUGUGCCGACACAUCUCAUUGGGGCUACAUUACUCCGAGGAGAGUGGAAAAGUGUUGUAAACAUGAUUCUUGAUCCAAGAGAAGGGGAAAGAUAUGAUGUGAGGAAGAUACGGGAGUAUUACAAGGAAAGUGGUGAUAUCGAUGGGACCCUGAGGCAACUGCCUCGCUAUCUGAAUGCUGAAAGGGCUGUACUUCAGUGUUUGAAGAAAUGCCCUGGGAACUACUUGCAGGCCCUGAAAGCUAUACCUAGAACUUUGAGAAUGAUGUAUGUACACAGUUAUCAAAGCUACUUGUGGAACCAUGCAGCGAGUGUGAGAGUUCAAAAAUAUGGAAAUGGCCAAGUUGUGGUAGGGGACUUGGUGUAUUGCAAAGGAGAUGAUACAGAAAGUGAGGUUUUAGGUGUCAAUUCUGAAUGUGAAGAUGGUGGCGGUGAAGACAUUUAUGAGUGCAGUACUUCAGAUGAAACAUCUGGAAUAAAUCCCCCUGAAAGAAAAAAUGAUCUUGUUAAGGCAGUAACAGCUGAAGACAUUUCAACUGGAAGUUAUACAAUUAAUGAUGUUAUCCUUCCAAUGCCCGGAUCUAGGGUAUCUUAUCCAACAAAUGACAUUGCCGAAGUUUAUCAUGAUUUGGCAAAGAAGGACUCUAUCAAUUUGGCUGAGAGUGUCCAUAGUGUCAAGGAAUUUUCAAUAACCAGCAUGACUGGAAGUUAUAGACGUGUUUUCCAGAAACCAAUGGACUUUGAAUGGGAAAUAAUGUCAUAUACUGAUAGUAAUACACCAUUGGCAGAGACAGAUCUGGAAAAAAUUGCCAAAGCUAACUCCGUGGAACUAAUCAAAGAAGAAAAAACCAAGAUAAAUGAGGAAAUAACCCCAAUUGAUUGCACGAAACAACCUAUGAGCUCAGAAAAUAAUUUAUGUCGAUCAGCAGAACAUGAUGAGGGUGAGAGAGUAGGGGCUGCGCAAGUUGAGCCUGUGUGUGUAUCUAACUCACAGGGCUCCGAAACAGCUCUAAAAUUAAGUUUCACUCUUCCAUCUUCAUGUUAUGCCACAAUGGCCAUAAGGGAGCUGUUGAAGUCAUCAACAUCUGUUGCAUUUCACAAAACAUUAAACCAGUGAGAUCAGAGAUAUUUAUGAAGUCCAAGACAUUUUAUUCUUUGGGGUCAAAAGCACUGUUACAAGCACAAGAACACGAAGUGCAGGGGAAUACUGUUAAAAGGAAAUCACUGUGUAGUUUGUGCAUUGCAUGGAUCCGCCAUUUCUCUACAUCUGCAAUCAUGGAUUUGCCAUUUCUCUAUAUCUGCAUUCAUGGAUUUGCCAUUUCUCUAUAUCUGCUAUCAUGGAUGGCCAGUAACUGUGACUUGAAACUUGAUUUCAUAAAUUUACAAAGAGUUUCCAGCAAAAAGUUUUUGUGGAUGAUGUUGUGUUUAAUGCGUCCUUGGUAUUUUUUUCAUCUUAGUAUAGAUUUAGGUUAGACUGCAAUCAGAAGAUCAAAUAAUUCAGAAAAAAUAAACGUGGUGAGAAAAAAUUGCAAAAUGGUAGGAAAACUCACCUCAUAGGUGGCAAGAAGUUUUUUGUAAUUGGACUGAGUAGAGCUAGCUGUGCUCUUGGCAUCAAAUUUGCUAUCCUUCGACCUGUUUGAUCGAAAGGAAUUGAUAAACCACGGAUCCUGGUUUUCAUAAGCAAAUGGUGUUGAGUAAAAGGAUGAGCCUUGUAGCUGACCAUGUUGCUGCUCAUUUUUUGGCUUCGUACUGACAUUGGGUCUCUGUUUCGGUUCACUUUGUGACCUGAGUUUGGCCCUUGAAGAUUCUGUGUUGGCCAUGUAGUUUGGAUGAGAAAUGGGUUGCAUAUAGUCCGGUUUCUGAUACGUAAACGAAGCUCUUCCUGGGAGUGCCUUAGUAGGUGGGGAGUAGAUUCGGGGACUAUUUGGUACUGUGGGGAAGGAGAAGUCCUCACAUUGGAAAUCCCGCUCUCGUUCUCGCUCUUUCCUGGAGAUGUAUAAUUCUCCUGAGUAGUAUUUGGUAACCCCAUGCUCCCUUCUCUCCAUCUGUGAGUGAUUUAAAAUGCCAUGCUUGUCCUUCAAAACUUUUUUUGUUUCAUAACUAUUUAGGUCUAAUUUUUCCUGCAUGAACAGCUUAUUAUCACAAACUAGUACAUGAAGAUUAUUCA